This 856-nucleotide ribosomal RNA is filed under the name uncultured bacterium. RNAcentral describes it as "bacterial SSU rRNA". It matches the Rfam family "Bacterial small subunit ribosomal RNA", at positions 8 to 842 of the family's 1533-position model. The record is from RNAcentral.
AGAGUUUGAUCAUGGCUCAGAAUCAACGCUGGCGGCGUGCCUAACACAUGCAAGUCGAACGCGAAAGUGGAGCAAUCCAUUAGUAGAGUGGCAAACGGGUGAGUAACACGUGGGCGACCUACCUCAGAGUGGGGGAUAACCUUCCGAAAGGAGGGCUAAUACCGCAUGACAUCCCGUGUUUGGAUACACGGAGAUCAAAGCCGGGGAUCGCAAGACCUGGCGCUUGGAGAGGGGCCCGCGUCCGAUUAGCUAGUUGGUGAGGUAACGGCUCACCAAGGCUCCGAUCGGUAUCCGGCCUGAGAGGGCGGACGGACACACUGGAACUGAGACACGGUCCAGACUCCUACGGGAGGCAGCAGUGGGGAAUUGUUCGCAAUGGGCGAAAGCCUGACGACGCAACGCCGCGUGGAGGAUGAAGAAUUUCGGUUCGUAAACUCCUUUCGACCGAGAUGAACAUCCCGCAAUUUAAUACGUUGUGGGACUGACAGUAUCGAGAGAAGAAGCCCCGGCUAACUCUGUGCCAGCAGCCGCGGUAAUACAGGGGGGGCAAGCGUUGUUCGGAAUUACUGGGCGUAAAGGGUUCGUAGGUGGCCAACUAAGUCAGAUGUGAAAUCCCUCAGCUUAACUGGGGAACUGCUUCUGAUACUGGUUGGCUUGAGUGCAGGAGAGGAAUGCGGAAUUCCAGGUGUAGCGGUGAAAUGCGUAGAUAUCUGGAGGAACACCGGUGGCGAAGGCGGCAUUCUGGACUGUAACUGACACUGAGGAACGAAAGCCAGGGGAGCAAACGGGAUUAGAUACCCCGGUAGUCCUGGCCCUAAACGAUGAAUGCUUGGUGUGGCGGGUAUCGAUCCCUGCC